Monodelphis domestica (gray short-tailed opossum) is the source of this 1474-nucleotide long non-coding RNA. RefSeq lists it as uncharacterized. The record is from RefSeq and is a predicted model, not a curated record. Lineage: Eukaryota; Metazoa; Chordata; Mammalia; Didelphimorphia; Didelphidae.
GCAGGAGGCGGGGGAGAAAAGAAGCUGCGUCAGAGAAGCCAGACUCCUGUCACACCUGGGAAAGGGGGUUGGGUCCUUUUUUUUUUUUUAAAACAUGUUCAUUAGGCCAAAGUAAUGGGAAAGACAGAUUCGUUUUAUAAUCAUUAAUGACAAAAUAGAAAUUUAUGCUUCGAUAAACACUAUUCAUUUCAAUAUUUUUUAUGGCAGCACAGACAGAGGUGAUGGUUCUGAAUUAAAGCCCAGGCCCUGAACCACAGAACCAAAAGGGGAAUGGCAAAAAUAGUGUCAUAACUUGCCACCAAAAACGAAAUAUUGCACAGCCUUGAUCAGCACAGAGGUGAAGCUUUGCAUGAAAACCGAGAUCUUCAGACAACCAGACCAUCAUGGAGGAUGCUGGGACAGUGUCUCAUUUAAGGGGAAAGAAGCAAGAAAGAAAAACUGCUUGGAGAGCCCGGAGAACAGAAAUCUUAUAUUCCGGAAGGGGCCUUUGAAUGAACAGUCUCAUAGAGGUUUGGAGAGCCCUGAGAACAGAAGUCCUAUGUUCCAGAAGGGACCUUUGAAUGGACAGUCUCAAAAGGCUUGAAGAGCCCUGAGAACAGACAUCCCAUGUUUUGGAAGGGGCCUUUGAAUGGGCAGUCUCGCAAAAGAAACAGGUGGAUUUGAGCCUUGGAGAAGAGAAUGAGUGAAGGAGGAGAACCCUCAGAAGACAAAACAAGAAGAGCACAAAGAACACAAAAGGUUAGAAUGUGGUAUGUCCUCAAAAACCAUGACAUUUGACAUCUUGGAGAGUCCGGAGAACAGAAGUCCUUUGUUCUGGAAGGGGCCUUUGAAUGGACAAUCUCAAAAGGUUGCUUCUAGGGUGGAAGCUCUCAUUGGAGUCACCGAGAUGCCAUUGUAAUCCCUGCAACCAUCCCAGCCUGAACCCCUGGACAUUGCCUACAGCCAAUACCUCUCUCUCUCUCCUGAGGAUAGGGUUCCCACUGGAGUCUGUCAUUCUUGAAAGGGUGCCCUCCCCAGACGAAGAGUUCAUCUCCAGCCCCCCACAACAGAACCAAUACACCAAUUCUAAAAUGAAAGGGUGAUCGUCUAGAGCCUACAUCGCAAAUCCUAUCCCCAUUGAACCACGUGAUCAAGCGGUUGUUUUGCCUCUGUGUUUCAGCUCCCACAAUUCUUUCUCUGGAUGUGGAUAGCAGAGCAAAGGAAAACCUUGGAACAUAAAAGAGUGAAGAUCAUUUGAAUGAAAACCAGGGUUUCGACGAUCCAGAACAUUUUGCAAGGUAAAAGAAGAGUGCCUCGUUUACCUAAAAAUAAUUUUAAAUGAAAGAAAAAAAUUAUGCUAGUCAUUUCACAAGAUAAGGGAAUGAUUUCCAGGUAAACAUGGUGGCAGUCUAGACGCAAGACUCAUCCUCUCCUCAGCACCCACCGAUAUAGAUGACCUCAAAAGAAAAAAAAACAAAACAAAAACAAAAACAAA